CCUUUAAGGUAGACUUUACCUAUUUCAUAGUUUCCAUGAUUCAACUAGCCCUUUUAGCAUAAAUAGCACAAAUUAUGAUAGUGAUUAACCAUUCCAUACCAAAUGAUUAUAACAUUAUGCUCAAACAUAUAUAAGCCAUUUUCGCAUGGCUAUAUACAUUAACCAAAAUAUUCUUCCGCCACUAGUCUAUUUUAUACAUGCCAUAAGAUAAUCCAAAACAUAGCAGUACCAAAUAGUGGAUAGUGAUAGUGUGACUAGUUGCUGACGAUCCCCGAGCCUGUAGCUUCGCAAUGAGAUCUAUAAAACAGAGGAAACAGAGUAAACGGAGUAAGCAUUACAAUGCUUAGUAAGUUUUAAGCAGUGUCAACAGAUAACAAUCAAAUUAUAACAUAGUUGUUCGUAUUUUUAUUUCACUCUUCCUUCGGGCAUACCAUCCCUUUACCGAAUAUGCACAUCUCAUCAUAUACAAUAGGUAGAUAAACUUUCACAUAAAAGUGAGCUCAUGUGACAUAGAUAUAUCGUAUGAUUUCACAUCACCUCUCACACUGAUCCGAUGUCACAUAAUCAUAGGAAUAGUCUCAUAGAUUGCUCUCGUAUGCAUCACAUAACGACCUUAUGAUUUAGUGCAAAUCAAGCUCACAUAUAAACUUGGAGUACAUACCUGUUUAACCUUUCGCAUUGAAUAUAUUUAUAAGCAAUUCUUAUUACGAAGUCUUACCCAGACAUAAUCUCCACACGAAGUUAUCGGGUCUUACCCGGAUAAAAUUCCCACACGUAGUCAUCGGGUCUUUAGAGCUCGGAUAUAGUACGAGCAUGAAGCUUACGGACAUUAAUCAGUGAUAAUAUUCUCGCAUAAAGCCUGCGGGGUUUUAACCCGGAUAUAGUACUGACACAAAUGCCCUUCGGGACUUAUCACAUUUAUACACUUUCACAUCCAUCACGUUGGCCACUCGGCCCUGUCACAUAUAUACACUUUCACAUUCAUCACAUCGGCCAUUAGGCCUUAUCACAUAUAUACACUUUCACAUUCAUCACAUCGGCCAUUAGGCCUUAUCACAUAUAUAUACACUUUCACAUUCAUCACAUCGGCCAUUAGACCUUAUCACAUAUAUACACUUUCACAUUCAUCACAUCGGCCAUUAGGCCUUAUCACAUAUAUAUACACUUUCACAUUCAUCACAUCGGCCAUUAGGCCUUAUCACAUAUAUACACUUUCACAUUCAUCACAUCGGCCAUUAGGCCUUAUCACAUAUAUGCAUGUUCACAUCCAUCACAUAGAAUCCUAAAUCAAAAUAUAGAUUUUCAUGUAUUCACAUCACAAUUAUCCAAAUAUACUUCACAUACCACAUAUACUUUCACGUAUACACACUGUCUUGGCUGAAUCUACAUCUAUCAUUUUCCAAUAUCACAAUUUAGAAUUCACGUAUGGGUUUAAUCAAUAGCUUAUGAGCAACUAAAACAAGUUUAUCAAGGUUUACAACACAAUCUCAAAUUCAGCACAAGCUGUUUUUCCUGAGCAAUAGUCACUAAAUUAUUUAUAACUGGAGCUACAAAACUCCAAAUCACUUUCCGUUAAUUUUUCCUGAAUAUAGACUCGUAUAUCUUCCAUCCAUAAAAUUUCUAGAAUUUUAGGUUUGGCCAAUCAAUACAAGAUUUUUCUUAAAGUUUCCCCUGUUUCACUGUUUGACUAAUCUGACCACUCUUCACUACGAAUCAAAUUUCUCAUUUUACAGAAUUCAAAAUGUGUUGUAUUUGAUUUCAUUUGAAACUAGACUCAUUAAGGAGUAUAAGCAUAUAAAUUUUAUCUUAUAACCAUUUUUGUACAAUUUAUAAUGAUUUUCUAAAAACAGAACAGAGGAUUACAGUGUCAUUCUGUGCUGUCUCACACAACUUUAAAUAUCUCAUUAUCGGAAAUUCCUUUGCUUACACGGUUUCUUUUAUAAGAAACUAGACUCAUUAAGAUUUAAUUUCGUGUCUCAUUCGGCCUCUAAUUCAAAUCCAUAAAUUUAUGGUGAUUUUCUAAAGUCACGUUACUGCUGCUGUCCUAAGCAGGUUUAUCACAAUUUUACUCUUCUGACAUAUCCUUUUAGCACUUUAUAAUAUCAUAUCCAUUUGGCAACAUAUCAUAUCAAUAACUUACCUAUACUUCAUAAUAGCCAUUAGGCUAUAUGCAUAAAAAUUUACAAUAGAGUUAUGAUUCUUUUAAUAUGUGCUUAACAUAUCAUACUCAAUCACAUUAUAGGCUUUAAUACUUAAAACUUACCUCGAUCGCUAAUGUACGUCAAUUCCGACUAUUCGACCAAUUUCCCUUUUUCCAC
This 2318-nucleotide long non-coding RNA is filed under the name Gossypium barbadense (sea-island cotton). RNAcentral describes it as "long non-coding RNA (GBAR_LNC001486)". The record is from RNAcentral. Lineage: Eukaryota; Viridiplantae; Streptophyta; Magnoliopsida; Malvales; Malvaceae.